ACAGUGGACGCGAGCAUCUGUGGCCAAGUUUUUAAGGGCGCACGGUGGAUGCCUUGGCACCAGGAACCGAUGAAGGACGUGGGAGGCCACGAUAGUCCCCGGGGAGUCGUCAACCAGGCUUUGAUCCGGGGGUUUCCGAAUGGGGAAACCCGGCAGUCGUCAUGGGCUGUCACCCUUGUCUGAACACAUAGGGCAAGUGGAGGGAACGCGGGGAAGUGAAACAUCUCAGUACCCGCAGGAAGAGAAAACAACCGUGAUUCCGGGAGUAGUGGCGAGCGAAACCGGAUGAGGCCAAACCGUAUGCGUGUGAGACCCGGCAGGGGUUGCGUAUACGGGGUUGUGGGAUCUCUCUUUCAUGGUCUGCCGGCCGUGAGACGAGUCAGAAACCGUUGAUGUAGGCGAAGGACAUGCGAAAGGUCCGGCGUAGAGGGUAAGACCCCCGUAGCUGAAACAUUAGCGGCUCGUUUGAGAGACACCCAAGUAGCACGGGGCCCGAGAAAUCCCGUGUGAAUCUGGCGGGACCACCCGCUAAGCCUAAAUAUUCCCUGGUGACCGAUAGCGGAUAGUACCGUGAGGGAAUGGUGAAAAGUACCGCGGGAGCGGAGUGAAAUAGUACCUGAAACCGUGUGCCUACAAGCCGUGGGAGCGUCGGACAUCAGCUUGCUGGUGUCUCGUGACUGCGUGCCUUUUGAAGAAUGAGCCUGCGAGUUUGCGGUGUGUUGCGAGGUUAACCCGUGUGGGGAAGCCGUAGCGAAAGCGAGUCCGAACAGGGCGUUUCAGUAGCAUGCUCAAGACCCGAAGCGGAGUGAUCUAGCCAUGGGCAGGUUGAAGCGGAGGUAAGACUUCGUGGAGGACCGAACCCACCAGGGUUGAAAACCUGGGGGAUGACCUGUGGUUAGGGGUGAAAGGCCAAUCAAACUCCGUGAUAGCUGGUUCUCCCCGAAAUGCAUUUAGGUGCAGCGUCGUGUGUUUCUUGCCGGAGGUAGAGCACUGGAUAGGCGAUGGGCCCUACCGGGUUACUGACCUUAGCCAAACUCCGAAUGCCGGUAAGUGAGAGCGCGGCAGUGAGACUGUGGGGGAUAAGCUCCAUGGUCGAGAGGGAAACAGCCCAGAGCAUCGACUAAGGCCCCUAAGCGUACGCUAAGUGGGAAAGGAUGUGGAGUCGCACAGACAACCAGGAGGUUGGCUUAGAAGCAGCCACCCUUGAAAGAGUGCGUAAUAGCUCACUGGUCUAGUGAUUCCGCGCCGACAAUGUAGCGGGGCUCAAGCGUACCGCCGAAGUCGUGUCAUUCAUACUAUAGGGCCAACGCCUGUAUGGAUGGGUAGGGGAGCGUCGUCUGCCGGGUGAAGCAGCCGCGGAAGCGAGUUGUGGACGGUUGACGAGUGAGAAUGCAGGCAUGAGUAGCGAUACACACGUGGGAAACGUGUGCGCCGAUUGACUAAGGGUUCCUGGGUCAAGCUGAUCUGCCCAGGGUAAGUCGGGACCUAAGGCGAGGCCGACAGGCGUAGUCGAUGGAUAACCGGUUGAUAUUCCGGUACCCGCUGUGAAGCGUCAAACAUCGAGCAUCGUGAUGCUAAGGCCGUGAAGCCGCCCUGAUCUCUUCGGAGUUGAGGGGAGUGGUGGAGCCGCCGGACCAAGCGGUUAGUAGGUGAGUGAUGGGGUGACGCAGGAAGGUAGUCCAUCCCGGGCGAUGGUAGUCCCGGGGUAAGGGUGUAGGCCGUGCGGUAGGUAAAUCCGUCGCACACAUGGCUGAGACCUGAUGCCGAGCCGAUUGUGGUGAAGUGGAUGAUCCUAUGCUGUCGAGAAAAGCCUCUAGCGAGUUUCAUGGCGGCCCGUACCCUAAACCGACUCAGGUGGUCAGGUAGAGAAUACCGAGGCGUUCGGGUGAACUAUGGUUAAGGAACUCGGCAAAAUGCCCCCGUAACUUCGGGAGAAGGGGGGCCACGUCUGGUGAUCCGUUUUACACGGUGAGCUGGGGGUGGCCGCAGAGACCAGCGAGAAGCGACUGUUUACUAAAAACACAGGUCCGUGCGAAGCCGUAAGGCGAUGUAUACGGACUGACGCCUGCCCGGUGCUGGAACGUUAAGGGGACCGGUUAGUCGAGAUUCGUCUCGGCGAAGCUGAGAACUUAAGCGCCAGUAAACGGCGGUGGUAACUAUAACCAUCCUAAGGUAGCGAAAUUCCUUGUCGGGUAAGUUCCGACCUGCACGAAUGGCGUAACGACUUCUCGACUGUCUCAACCAUAGGCCCGGUGAAAUUGCACUACGAGUAAAGAUGCUCGUUUCGCGCAGCAGGACGGAAAGACCCCGGGACCUUUACUACAGUUUGAUAUUGGUGUUCGGUUCGGCUUGUGUAGGAUAGCUGGGAGACUUUGAUCAUCGGACGCCAGUUCGGUGUGAGUCGUCGUUGAAAUACCAGUCUGGUCGUGCUGGAUGUCUAACCUGGGUCCGUGAUCCGGAUCAGGGACAGUGUCUGAUGGGUAGUUUAACUGGGGCGGUUGCCUCCUAAAGAGUAACGGAGGCGCCCAAAGGUUCCCUCAGCCUGGUUGGUAAUCAGGUGUUGAGUGUAAGUGCACAAGGGAGCUUGACUGUGAGACCGACGGGUCGAGCAGGGACGAAAGUCGGGACUAGUGAUCCGGCGGUGGCUUGUGGAAGCGCCGUCGCUCAACGGAUAAAAGGUACCCCGGGGAUAACAGGCUGAUCUUCCCCAAGAGUCCAUAUCGACGGGAUGGUUUGGCACCUCGAUGUCGGCUCGUCGCAUCCUGGGGCUGGAGUCGGUCCCAAGGGUUGGGCUGUUCGCCCAUUAAAGCGGUACGCGAGCUGGGUUUAGAACGUCGUGAGACAGUUCGGUCCCUAUCCGCUGUGCGCGUAGGAGUCUUGAGAAGGGCUGUCCCUAGUACGAGAGGACCGGGACGGACGAACCUCUGGUGUGCCAGUUGUCCUGCCAAGGGCAUGGCUGGUUGGCUACGUUCGGGAGGGAUAACCGCUGAAAGCAUCUAAGCGGGAAGCCUGCUUCGAGAUGAGGACUCCCACCCACUUGAUGGGUUAAGGCUCCCAGUAGACGACUGGGUUGAUAGGCCGGAUCUGGAAGCACGGUAACGUGUGGAGGUGACCGGUACUAAUAGGCCGAGGGCUUGUCCUCAGUUG
Molecule: ribosomal RNA, 3147 nt
Filed under: Streptomyces griseoviridis
Lineage: Bacteria; Bacillati; Actinomycetota; Actinomycetes; Kitasatosporales; Streptomycetaceae
Description: 23S ribosomal RNA
Rfam family: Bacterial large subunit ribosomal RNA
Source: RNAcentral